Molecule: ribosomal RNA, 500 nt
Filed under: uncultured bacterium
Lineage: Bacteria
Description: bacterial SSU rRNA
Rfam family: Bacterial small subunit ribosomal RNA
Source: RNAcentral
AGCAGGGAAUCUUGCGCAAUGGGCGAAAGCCUGACGCAGCAACGCCGCGUGGGGGAAAAGGCCUUCGGGUUGUAAACCCCUUUCAGGAGGGAAGAAAAUGACGGUACCUCCAGAAGAAGCACCGGCCAACUACGUGCCAGCAGCCGCGGUAAUACGUAGGGUGCGAGCGUUAUCCGGAAUCAUUGGGCGUAAAGAGCUCGUAGGCGGUUCAACAAGUCGGCUGUGAAAGUCCGGGGCUCAACCCCGGAAUUGCAGUCGAUACUGUUGUGACUUGAGUCCGGUAGAGGAGAAUGGAAUUCCCGGUGUAGCGGUGGAAUGCGCAGAUAUCGGGAGGAACACCAGUAGCGAAGGCGGUUCUCUGGGCCGGCACUGACGCUGAGGAGCGAAAGCGUGGGGAGCAAACAGGAUUAGAUACCCUGGUAGUCCACGCCGUAAACGUUGGAUACUAGGUGUGGCGGUCUACCAACGACUGCCGUGCCGAAGCUAACGCAUUAAUCCNG